Rattus norvegicus (Norway rat) is the source of this 1307-nucleotide non-coding RNA. Lineage: Eukaryota; Metazoa; Chordata; Mammalia; Rodentia; Muridae. The record is from RefSeq and is a predicted model, not a curated record.
UGACAUAUGACACUGAUGCCGGAGCAGGCCUGACACUGGCUCAGACACUGGCUGUAGUGAAGUGAGAAGCUGCAGUCUUAUGAAAAGAUGACCAGAAAGCUUCCUCGUAUGUUCUCGGCUCAGCUGCAGCCUCCUUCCUCACCUGGUUCUCCCGUCUCUCAUCAUCAUAAAGCCCGCCUUCCUCUCCUAACUGCUCAGCCUUCCAGCCUUCAGCCUGCUCUCCAACAAGACCCAUCCCUCUCUGUGUUCUGCCCUACCUCUUUCCCUCCUCUGACAGCCCCUUCCUACUACCCCACCUUAAGGAUCUCCAUUCCCAGCACCUCCAGACUUUCAACUAAGCGCACUGUCCAUCUCCCCCCCCUCUCCUGCUACUCCUCCAUCCUUGUCCCUACUCCCCCCAACAGCCCUGUUGAAUAGUUCCCUUCUCUCUAGCCCCCACCUUCAACCCUCCCACCCACCCUCAGCCACACCAGGUGAGCCACCGAUCUCAUCUUGGGGAAAAGUUUCCCCACUGCUACCAUCAUUCAGAAGUUCUGGGGCUGAGGGCACCUGGAAGCUUGACCUUACAAACAAGAAUGCAGGACUGUGGAGCCAAUGUAGAGUGCCUCUCUGUUGACGUCUGUGUUGGCUGGGUCUUAGCAGAUGGUGCUAACUGAGCAGGAACCCAGAGAAUUCUAGAGAAAUCAGCCCCCUAAGAACACCAGGUGUGUCAAACCAUUUCAGUAUUUCUCGGUUCAGUGACAAGAAGGAAUUCUGUCUCCCUUAAGGAAUAACUGGCUGUGGGAUGCACUGGUGGUCUGGAAGGACUUCAGAGUAGAGCCCUGGCUCUCUGGUGGAAAGAAUACAUGUGAACGUGUUGAAUCCUUCACCUUCCUAGACACCUGUGGCGAGCUCACAGCACGUGACAGUGAGGACCAGGCAGGCCAGCCUUGCUUCAGACCCCUUUGGAACCUACAGAUAAUAGACUGUGUUUGUCCAAGUUGCAAGAGGUCUGAAGCACUCUGUGCCUGCUCCUAUAAACAUGGGAACAAUGUCAUCAGGUGACACUGGUGACGACCUAAGAUAUUAUAUCCUCCAAAACACUAGAUACAGGUGCUGUGGACCUGUAAGAUGCAUCUCAGUUGGUUUCAGGAUGAUGCCUGGAAUCAGAAUCAGCUUGAGGAGCAACACCAUGAAUGGGAAACCCUCACCUCAUUCAGGAAGAGUACCCCCAACUUCAAUAUGGAAACAUGGCGCGCCAUGCUGAGGGGGCAUCUCAGCAUGUCUCCUUACAUUUGCUUAAAAUAUAUCAAUUACGUUUCUUGCAA